GGAGAGCUGUCCGAGUGGUCGAAGGAGCACGAUUGGAAAUCGUGUAGGCUGCGACAGUGGUCUCGAGGGUUCGAAUCCCUCGCUCUCCGCCA
Molecule: transfer RNA, 92 nt
Filed under: Ornithinibacillus caprae
Lineage: Bacteria; Bacillati; Bacillota; Bacilli; Caryophanales; Bacillaceae
Description: tRNA-Ser
Rfam family: tRNA
About the family: Transfer RNA (tRNA) molecules are approximately 80 nucleotides in length.
Source: RNAcentral